This 482-nucleotide ribosomal RNA is filed under the name uncultured Alphaproteobacteria bacterium. RNAcentral describes it as "bacterial SSU rRNA". It matches the Rfam family "Bacterial small subunit ribosomal RNA", at positions 8 to 536 of the family's 1533-position model. Lineage: Bacteria; Pseudomonadati; Pseudomonadota; Alphaproteobacteria. The record is from RNAcentral.
AGAGUUUGAUCCUGGCUCAGAACGAACGCUGGUGGCAGGCCUAACACAUGCAAGUCGAGCGCACCCUUCGGGGCGAGCGGCGGACGGGUUAGUAACGCGUGGGAAUGUACCCUUUACUACGGAAUAGCCUCUGGAAACGGAGAGUAAUACCGUAUGUGCCCUUCGGGGGAAAGAUUUAUCGGUAAAGGAUCAGCCCGCGUUAGAUUAGAUAGUUGGUGGGGUAAUGGCCUACCAAGUCUACGAUCUAUAGCUGGUUUUAGAGGAUGAUCAGCAACACUGGGACUGAGACACGGCCCAGACUCCUACGGGAGGCAGCAGUGGGGAAUCUUAAACAAUGGGCGCAAGCCUGAUCUAGCCAUGCCGCGUGUGUGAUGAAGGCCUUAGGGUCGUAAAGCACUUUCGCUAGGGAUGAUAAUGACAGUACCUAGUAAAGAAACCCCGGCUAACUCCGUGCCAGCAGCCGCGGUAAUAAGGGCGAAUUC